UACGGAGGGGGCGAGCGUUAUUCGGAAUUAUUGGGCGUAAAGGGCGCGUAGGCGGCCCGGUAAGUCAAAGGUGAAAUCCCUCGGCUCAACUGAGGAACUGCCUUUGAAACUGUCGGGCUUGAGGCCGGGAGGGGGUAGCGGAAUUCCCAGUGUAGCGGUGAAAUGCGUAGAUAUUGGGAGGAACACCGGUGGCGAAGGCAGAUCUCUGGGCCGUAACUGACGCUGAGGAGCGAAAGCAUGGGGAGCGAACAGG
This 253-nucleotide ribosomal RNA is filed under the name uncultured bacterium. RNAcentral describes it as "partial 16S ribosomal RNA". It matches the Rfam family "Bacterial small subunit ribosomal RNA", at positions 524 to 776 of the family's 1533-position model. The record is from RNAcentral.